This 437-nucleotide ribosomal RNA is filed under the name uncultured bacterium. RNAcentral describes it as "bacterial SSU rRNA". It matches the Rfam family "Bacterial small subunit ribosomal RNA", at positions 29 to 449 of the family's 1533-position model. The record is from RNAcentral.
GUGAACGCUGGCGGCGUGCUUAACACAUGCAAGUCGAACGGGGGACAAUUUAAAGAAGCUUCGGCAGAUUUAGUUUGUUCCUAGUGGCGGACGGGUGAGUAACGCGUGGGUAACCUGCCUCACACUGGGGGAUAACAGUCAGAAAUGACUGCUAAUACCGCAUAAGCGCACAGAGCCGCAUGGCUCAGUGUGAAAAACUCCGGUGGUGUGAGAUGGACCCGCGUUGGAUUAGCCAGUUGGCAGGGUAACGGCCUACCAAAGCGACGAUCCAUAGCCGGCCUGAGAGGGUGGACGGCCACAUUGGGACUGAGACACGGCCCAGACUCCUACGGGAGGCAGCAGUGGGGAAUAUUGCACAAUGGGGGAAACCCUGAUGCAGCGACGCCGCGUGAAGGAAGAAGUAUCUCGGUAUGUAAACUUCUAUCAGCAGGGAAGAA